RNAcentral lists this ribosomal RNA (402 nucleotides) under uncultured prokaryote. RNAcentral's name for it is "bacterial SSU rRNA". It matches the Rfam family "Bacterial small subunit ribosomal RNA", at positions 355 to 774 of the family's 1533-position model. The record is from RNAcentral.
UAGGGAAUAUUAGAAAUGGACGAAAGUCUGAUCUAGCAACACCGCGUGUGCGAAGAAGGCCUUCGGGUUGUAAAGCACUUUUUGAGAGGAUGAGGAAGGACGGUACUCUCAGAAUAAGUCUCGGCUAACUACGUGCCAGCAGCCGCGGUAACACGUAGGAGGCAAACGUUAUCCGGAUUUACUGGGCGUAAAGCGCGUGUAGGUGGUUUGGUAAGUAGAGCGUGAAAGCUCCUGGCUCAACUGGGAGAGGUCGUUCUAAACUGCCGGACUAGAGAAUGGUAGAGGGAGGUGGAAUUCCGGGUGUAGUGGUGAAAUGCGUAGAUAUCCGGAGGAACACCAGUGGCGAAAGCGGCCUCCUGGGCCAUUUCUGACGCUAAGACGCGAAAGCUAGGGUAGCAAACG